GAGUUUGAUCCUGGCUCAGAACUAACGCUGGCGGCGUGCCUAACACAUGCAAGUCGUACGAGAAAGUCCGCUUCGGUGGAUGAGUAAAGUGGCGCACGGGUGAGUAACACGUGGAUAAUCUGCCCCCCAGUUGGGAAUAACACACCGAAAGGUAUGCUAAUACCCAAUAAUGCUUCUUCGACUCCGGUCGAGAAGCCAAAGAGGGCCUCUUCUUGAAAGCUUUUGCUGGAGGAUGAGUCCGCGUACCAUUAGCUAGUUGGUAGGGUAACGGCCUACCAAGGCUGCGAUGGUUAGCUGGUCUGAGAGGAUGAUCAGCCACACUGGAACUGAGAUACGGUCCAGACUCCUACGGGAGGCAGCAGUGAGGAAUCUUGCGCAAUGGGGGAAACCCUGACGCAGCAACGCCGCGUGAGUGAGGAAGGCCUUCGGGUCGUAAAGCUCUGUCUGGUGGGAAGAAAUGCAUAACGGCGAAUACCCGUUAUGCUUGACGGUACCACCGAAGGAAGCACCGGCUAACCCCGUGCCAGCAGCCGCGGUAAUACGGGGGGUGCGAGCGUUGUUCGGAAUUAUUGGGCGUAAAGAGCGUGUAGGCGGCUGGGUAAGUCAGAUGUGAAAGCCCUGGGCUUAACCCAGGAAGUGCAUUUGAUACUGCCCGGCUUGAGUAGGGGAGAGGGAAGUGGAAUUCCUGGUGUAGAGGUGAAAUUCGUAGAUAUCAGGAGGAACACCGGUGGCGAAGGCGACUUCCUGGCCCUAUACUGACGCUGAGACGCGAGAGCGUGGGGAGCAAACAGGAUUAGAUACCCUGGUAGUCCACGCCGUAAACGAUGUUCACUAGGUGUUGGGGGUAUUGACCCCCUCAGUGCCGCAGCUAACGCAUUAAGUGAACCGCCUGGGGAGUACGGCCGCAAGGUUAAAACUCAAAGGAAUUGACGGGG
Molecule: ribosomal RNA, 935 nt
Filed under: uncultured bacterium
Lineage: Bacteria
Description: bacterial SSU rRNA
Rfam family: Bacterial small subunit ribosomal RNA
Source: RNAcentral